RNAcentral lists this ribosomal RNA (253 nucleotides) under uncultured bacterium. RNAcentral describes it as "partial 16S ribosomal RNA". It matches the Rfam family "Bacterial small subunit ribosomal RNA", at positions 524 to 776 of the family's 1533-position model. The record is from RNAcentral.
UACAGAGGGGGCAAGCGUUGUUCGGAAUUACUGGGCGUAAAGGGCGCGUAGGCGGCCUUCUAAGUCGAACGUGAAAUCCCCGGGCUCAACCCGGGAACUGCGUCCGAUACUGGAAGGCUUGAAUCCGGGAGAGGGAUGCGGAAUUCCAGGUGUAGCGGUGAAAUGCGUAGAUAUCUGGAGGAACACCGGUGGCGAAGGCGGCAUCCUGGACCGGCAUUGACGCUGAGGUGCGAAAGCCAGGGGAGCGAACGGG